GCUUCCAUUUAGGCUGCAGCUGUUGCUAUUAUGUUAAUAAUAUUUUUUAUCACCACUGUAUACAACAGGUUAUGGCAAUAAAAGAAAUGUCUCCUUUUUGGGGAGCUCUCCCCCCUGUUGUUUCCAUUUUCCUAUGCCAGAGGGGAAGACUGAAAGAAAUUCAGACAAAUCAAGCCUCAUCAGCGCACUAUAACGUUCUAUUUCUGAACUGAUUUGUAAGAGAAUGGGUAACUGAAAUUAGCAGAGAAUCACCCCACACAAAGAUGGCGCGUGCAGAAUUCGUGAAAGCGAAAAAGAAGAAGAAGGACAAGCCAGAGAGGGACGGAGCACUGCAGAGCUGGGGCGCAGGUGGAGUCCAGAAAUGAUUUUUUUCGAUGAAUUUAGGAUUUUGCCGCAGUAUACAUCUGCAGUCCCAGAAUCCUCCGCACGGAUGUGUCUCCACCACAUCUCUGUCCACGCUCACAGCAGCCACUGAAACGUCCUUCCUCCACAGGGCAAACGACGAAGGCCUGGAGCACACGAACUCCAAGCAUGAAGGGCGUCCUGACAUAACCAUGGGGACUGGGCCACAGCCACCACUGGGCCAUGGCCUCGGCCACCUUCCCGCCCCUCCCUCGUGGCUGAUCACAUAAGCUGCCAGCUCCCAGAGUGGCUGUCCGCACACCAAGCCCAGUGGGCUCCUCAACUCCUUCUCUGUGAGAACAGUCAGCCAUGUAGGCUGACAGAGGCAUUUACAGCGA
Long non-coding RNA from Fukomys damarensis (Damara mole-rat), 740 nucleotides. RefSeq lists it as uncharacterized. Lineage: Eukaryota; Metazoa; Chordata; Mammalia; Rodentia; Bathyergidae. The transcript has 3 exons. The record is from RefSeq and is a predicted model, not a curated record.